RNAcentral lists this ribosomal RNA (253 nucleotides) under uncultured bacterium. RNAcentral describes it as "partial 16S ribosomal RNA". It matches the Rfam family "Bacterial small subunit ribosomal RNA", at positions 524 to 776 of the family's 1533-position model. The record is from RNAcentral.
GACGGAGGGGGCUAGCGUUGUUCGGAAUGACUGGGCGUAAAGGGCGCGUAGGCGGUUUUUUAAGUGAGGCGUGAAAGCCCUGGGCUUAACCCAGGAGGUGCGUUUCAUACUGGAAAGCUUGAGUGCGAGAGAGGAAAGCGGAAUUCCUAGUGUAGAGGUGAAAUUCGUAGAUAUUAGGAAGAACACCAGUGGCGAAGGCGGCUUUCUGGCUCGUAACUGACGCUGAGGCGCGAAAGCGUGGGGAGCAAACAGG